CCGGAACAACCACUCUUGGAGGUGUUCAGGCCAGUUUUGGUUAGUUCUGCUAUUAUGGUGUCUGUCAGUGUUUUAGCAUCUCCUGCAUUGGCCAUUGCUAUAGUAAGAAGGAUUUCUGUUGCUUGGUUUUCUACAGAUACAAACCGAAUUACAAUAGAUAGGUUUUCACAGCCUGUCGGUUCCCGGGUGCCGUCAACAUUUAUGAAAUCGAGACUCAUCAGACCAGGCAACAUUCUUCCAGUCUUCAACUGUCCAAUUUUGUACAGCUUCUGUUGCUUGGGAUGCAGUUUCAAUUCAUGAAUUUGGACGAUACUAAUACCCAGUUGCAUCAGAGGUGAAUAACGACUCCAUGGGCC
This is a long non-coding RNA of Esox lucius (northern pike), 356 nucleotides long. NCBI's taxonomy places the organism in Eukaryota, Metazoa, Chordata, Actinopteri, Esociformes, Esocidae. The record is from Ensembl.